Molecule: long non-coding RNA, 885 nt
Organism: Hypanus sabinus (Atlantic stingray)
Lineage: Eukaryota; Metazoa; Chordata; Chondrichthyes; Myliobatiformes; Dasyatidae
Exons: 3
Source: RefSeq, a predicted model, not a curated record
CACGUCAUGACAUUCGGACAGCGUGGACAGAAUGGGACUGUUCGUACACACUCGGUUGCGAUGUAUCUCUAAGACGCUCCUGUGGGUGCUUCCCCAAAAUGACAACUGGUGACAUUUGAGAGUUUUUGGGCAAAUAACGGAAAACCUGGGCAAAGUGGUGAAUUGGAAGCAGCAUCUCAGCAGAGGAAGGAAAGAAGCAGAGGAAUUCUGCAAAAUAAUUUGUAAAGCUUGGACCAGGACAAGUAAACAUACAGCUGGAGGAGGGAGAAGAAUGAGCUUGGACCAGGACAGGUAAACGUACAGCUGGAGGAGGGAGAAGAAUGAGCUUGGACCAGGACAGGUAAACGUACAGCUGGAGGAGGGAGAAGAAUGAGCUUGGACCAGGACAGGUAAACGUCCAGCUGGAGGAGGGAGAAGAAUAAGCUUGGACCUGGACAGGUAAACGUCCAGCUGGAGGAGGGAGAAGAAUGAGCUUGGACCAGGACAGGUAAACGUACAGCUGGAGGAGGGAGAAGAAUGAGCUUGGACCAGGACAGGUAAACGUCCAGCUGGAGGAGGGAGAAGAAUGAGCUUGGACCUGGACAGGCAGCCUCAAAACAAAGAACCCCAAAAGAAUGACGGCCAAACACCUACUGCGCAGAGAGAAAAGAAAAAAAAACGUGCAAACAAUGAAACUGUGAACAGGAAUGGCAUUAAACAAUCUCAGACCUUGAAUAAAGAGUCAAUGUUUUGGACUGAGGACCUCUCCAUAGCUGCUGCCUGACCCAUCGAGUUCCUCCAGCAGUUUGUGUGAGUUGCUUUGGAGUUCCGGCGUCUGCAGAGUCUCCUGACUUUAUAACAUGCUAUUAUUUUUGUACUUAUGCACGUUUUAUUCCAUUUCUGUAC